RNAcentral lists this ribosomal RNA (467 nucleotides) under uncultured bacterium. Its description in RNAcentral is "partial 16S ribosomal RNA". It matches the Rfam family "Bacterial small subunit ribosomal RNA", at positions 29 to 507 of the family's 1533-position model. The record is from RNAcentral.
AUGAACGCUGGCCGCGUGCUUAACACAUGCAAGUCGAACGGUGAAGGCGGAGCUUGCUCUGCUGGAUCAGUGGCGAACGGGUGAGUAACACGUGAGCAAUCUGCCCCUGACUCUGGGAUAAGCGCUGGAAACGGCGUCUAAUACUGGAUACGAGCUGCGAAGGCAUCUUCAGCAGCUGGAAAGAAUUUCGGUCAGGGAUGAGCUCGCGGCCUAUCAGCUUGUUGGUGAGGUAAUGGCUCACCAAGGCGUCGACGGGUAGCCGGCCUGAGAGGGUGACCGGCCACACUGGGACUGAGAAACGGCCCAGACUCCUACGGGAGGCAGCAGUGGGGAAUAUUGCACAAUGGGCGAAAGCCUGAUGCAGCAACGCCGCGUGAGGGAAGACGGCCUUCGGGUUGUAAACCUCUUUUAGCAGGGAAGAGGCGAAAGUGACGGUACCUGCAGAAAAAGCGCCGGCUAACUACGUG